UGUUCCCAUACAAUCACCAAAGUUAAGCAACAUUGAGCUUGGUCAGUACUUACAUGGGUGACCGUUUGGGAAUACCAGGUGCA
Non-coding RNA from Acanthosepion pharaonis, 83 nucleotides. The record is from the annotation of a GenBank genome assembly. NCBI's taxonomy places the organism in Eukaryota, Metazoa, Mollusca, Cephalopoda, Sepiida, Sepiidae.